CGCAUCUGUGCAUGCAGCAUAUCAAUAAGCGGAGGAAAAGAAACUAACAAGGAUUCCCCUAGUAACGGCGAGUGAAGCGGGAAGAGCUCAAAUUUGAAAUCUUAAAGGGUUUCCCUUUACGAAUUGUAGUUUAAAGAAGUGUUUUCUGUUGAGGUUUUGGUAAAAGUUCUUUGGAAUAGGACAUCAUAGAGGGUGAGAAUCCCGUAUUUGACCUUUACUUUCAACUUUGUGAUACACCUUUCAAAGAGUCGGAUUGUUUGGGAAUGCAGUCCAAAAUGGGUGGUAAAUUUCAUCUAAAGCUAAAUAUUGGCGAGAGACCGAUAGCGAACAAGUACCGUGAGGGAAAGAUGAAAAGAACUUUGAAAAGAGAGUUAAACAGUACGUGAAAUUGUCAAAAGGGAAGCGUUUGACACCAGUGUUGUUUUUCUGAAAAUCAAUUAAAGAACUGUUUAUGCUAAGUUGUUUAGACUUUAUCAGCUAACUGUUUAGUUUUGAGCUUUUCUUUAAUGCACUUUUCAGUUAACAAGUCAACAUCAAUUUCUUUUGCUGUAAAAAAGCUUGAGGAAGGUGGCUUGAGAUUCGUCUUAAGUGUUUAUAGCCUCUUGCCUAUGCAGUCGGAGAGAUUGAGGUCUGCAGCGUAGAUCCUUCGGGGCUAAAUGCAUUUGUGCUAAGUUAUAGCAUUUUAUAGACAACUUGUUGACUAUGAUUUGUCUUGUAGCUUACUCGCUUAUGUUAUUUUACCUACGCUUAGGAUGUUGAACGCGCACAGAGUCUC
This 775-nucleotide ribosomal RNA is filed under the name uncultured Neocallimastigales. Its description in RNAcentral is "partial large subunit ribosomal RNA". It matches the Rfam family "Eukaryotic large subunit ribosomal RNA", at positions 26 to 611 of the family's 3401-position model. Lineage: Eukaryota; Fungi; Neocallimastigomycota; Neocallimastigomycetes; Neocallimastigales. The record is from RNAcentral.